RNAcentral lists this ribosomal RNA (468 nucleotides) under uncultured bacterium. RNAcentral's name for it is "partial 16S ribosomal RNA". It matches the Rfam family "Bacterial small subunit ribosomal RNA", at positions 28 to 507 of the family's 1533-position model. The record is from RNAcentral.
GACGAACGCUGGCGGCGUGCUUAACACAUGCAAGUCGAACGGAAAGGCCCUGCUUUUGUGGGGUGCUCGAGUGGCGAACGGGUGAGUAACACGUGAGUAACCUGCCCUUGACUUUGGGAUAACUUCAGGAAACUGGGGCUAAUACCGGAUAGGAGCUCCUGCUGCAUGGUGGGGGUUGGAAAGUUUCGGCGGUUGGGGAUGGACUCGCGGCUUAUCAGCUUGUUGGUGGGGUAGUGGCUUACCAAGGCUUUGACGGGUAGCCGGCCUGAGAGGGUGACCGGCCACAUUGGGACUGAGGUUCGGCCCCGACUCCUACGGGAGGCAGCAGUGGGGAAUAUUGCACAAUGGGCGGAAGCCUGAUGCAGCAACGCCGCGUGCGGGAUGACGGCCUUCGGGUUGUAAACCGCUUUCGCCUGUGACGAAGCGUGAGUGACGGUAAUGGGUAAAGAAGCACCGGCUAACUACGUG